AGCUCGUGUCGUGAGAUGUUGGGUUAAGUCCCGCAACGAGCGCAACCCUUGUCUUUAGUUACCAUCAUUCAGUUGGGGACUCUAGAGAGACUGCCGGUGAUAAACCGGAGGAAGGUGGGGAUGACGUCAAGUCAGCAUGGCCUUUAUAUCCUGGGCUACACACACGCUACAAUGGGAAGGGACAAUAGGUUGCGAAGCCGCGAGGCGGAGCCAAUCCAGCAAAACUUCCCUCAGUUCAGAUUGCAGGCUGCAACCCGCCUGCAUGAAGUUGGAGUUGCUAGUAAACGCAGGUCAGCCAUACUGCGUUGAAUACGUUCCCGGGGCUU
This 326-nucleotide ribosomal RNA is filed under the name uncultured Anaerolineaceae bacterium. RNAcentral describes it as "bacterial SSU rRNA". It matches the Rfam family "Bacterial small subunit ribosomal RNA", at positions 1057 to 1382 of the family's 1533-position model. Lineage: Bacteria; Bacillati; Chloroflexota; Anaerolineae; Anaerolineales; Anaerolineaceae. The record is from RNAcentral.